This is a non-coding RNA of Myxocyprinus asiaticus (Chinese sucker), 797 nucleotides long. Lineage: Eukaryota; Metazoa; Chordata; Actinopteri; Cypriniformes; Catostomidae. The record is from the annotation of a RefSeq genome assembly.
GAGAGGAAACAGUUUUGAAUGUGUGUCCCACCCCUCUGAUUAAAGCACAAUAUCAGACUGUCUGUUAGUCAGGACUGUCAAACCAACAUCACUGUUCCUUCAGUUCUCACUCAUUCACAGUAAAGAUGACAGCACACGCUCUCAUUAUCUGCUCUCUACUGCUUUUCAUUGCUGAGUGUAAUGGACAGAUCACAGUCACUCAGAGUCCCUCAACAACAGCAGCUCAACCAGGACAACAAGUUAAAAUAAACUGUAAAACCAGCAGUGAUGUCUACUACCACUGGGUUUUUGGUUAUGUAUACUACUUGAGCUGGUACUUACAGAAACCUGGAGAAGCUCCUAAACUCCUCAUAUAUGCUGCAACAACCCUCAACACUGGAACUCCAUCUAGAUUCAGUGGCAGUGGAUCUAAUAGUGAUUUCACUCUGACCAUCAGUGGAGUCCAGACUGAAGAUGCAGGACAUUAUUACUGUCAGAGUUAUCACUACAUCAACAGUAAAGAUGUGUUCACACAGUGAUAAAGAGUCGUACAAAAACCUCCUUCAGUGAAAGAGGAACUACUGAUACAGAAACAGUUUCUCUGAAUGUUACAUUAUAAAUUGACAUGGACACAAAGUUUUUGAUUUUUAUAUUUCACACUCAACACUACAUAUGAAACUGGACGACACAUUUUAUUAUAAAUUCAGUCAUUUUUGGUUUAUGUUUUACUGGCUGAUAUGACACUAGUCUUAAACUUUACUGACACCUAUCCAUGUGAAUACAGCGUCAUGCAAACAUAAAACAUUUGUUUUCACAGA